Syngnathus acus (greater pipefish) is the source of this 944-nucleotide long non-coding RNA. RefSeq lists it as uncharacterized. The record is from RefSeq and is a predicted model, not a curated record. Lineage: Eukaryota; Metazoa; Chordata; Actinopteri; Syngnathiformes; Syngnathidae. The transcript has 3 exons.
GGUACGCGUGCUCGUCCAUGCAAUUGAGGAAGUGGAGGCGAUGAACUCGCGCGGUCACCACGCUCACAUACACAUACACACACGCACAUGAGCCAAAAGACCAGAAUGGGGAAUGGAAUGGUGCCCCCCCCCAACUUAUUUGUCGUGCAAGGGUCGCAGGGUGUGGAAUCAGCUGUGAGCUCUAAAUCCACGCGGAUCUUUUGCAAGAUUCAUGUGCAGGGGCGUCAAGGGGGAAUCAGUAUUCCGGAGGACGAGGAGAAAUGGGUCGUCAAGAGAGACACGCUCGGUUUUAUUGCCGAGGCUUCUAAAAAGCAAUCAUCUCUCUGGAGGAAUUGAUAUCAGCAUGGGCCAAAUGGCAUCUCCUUCUUUGACAUUUUGUCAAAAGUUUGAUGCAACAGCCAUUUCCCAAGUUCCCCACCAGCCUAGUGCAAAACAUGAUGAUGAUGAUGAUGAUGAUGACACUGGCUAUUUUGUACGGCGGGGGAAGUGAGGUUAUGCCCCAUUAUAUCGAGCAGAUGACACAGGUGAGGAAAAAAUUACCUUACUUAUCCUUAAACAGCUUUUUUGUAUCUGCAUUUAAUGGGCUAAAAUUCACAUUUUCCACCUUUUCUCAACAUUUUAUGGAUAACGGUUGUGUAUUUCUACUCCGGUAUCUCUUGGGAAAGCUCCAGACUAACCUAUAUAUCUCAAUGUUGCUGUUGUGUGUUUAGUGUGAGUCAGUCUUAAAACAUAUUCUUCCUAGCAACAAGUGAUCAUGCCAAUUUGUGCAAAACAUUUUUCUGGGUUGUAGCUUAACUGUAAGUAGCCACAUUUUAAUCAUAGACCGAUUUCCAAACUCUUUGUGUAGCAUGUUAAAUAAUUGUUUUCUGUUUCUGUAUUCUUGGACAUGAUGUGUAUAUCAGCAGUAGCUCAUGGGUACAAAUAAAAUAGUUACUUGACAAACA